CCCUCCACGGCCCCUCGGCGCGGGGGACUGGGGCGCCGGCCUGCGACGGGGGCCGCCGACGGGGGCGGGAGCAUCAUCCUGAGCGAGAGCAGAGGACACAGCACUGAGCAGGCACCGGUCCAUCAGAGUGGCUCCGUGGCACUGGAUCCGACCCAGGCACAGAUCCUUGGAGAGCGGUUAUGGGAACAGAGGUCACCGUCUGUCUAGCUGGACGAUGUCCCCUCCCACAGGGCACCAGAUACAUCUUUUCAAGUUAAGUGGGCCAAGCCACGGGGUCAGAAUCGCCAUAGAUGCCCUACCGGUGCCCCCCAGGUGGGUGCCUCGUCCCUGGCAGCUGUACAUCUGAUAAAGCUCGGGCCAGGUCGCCAGGCUGCUCUCAGGUUCCGUGGCAAUGCCAUACUCCCAGGGGUAUUGCUUACACGUGGCCUGAAUUCAUCGUUUUUACCAGAGUUAAAUAAGAAAUCCUCAGACGGGACCACUGAAAAAGCUGUUGAUGAGCGCCGUUAGGGUAAAGCAGUGGGCGGUUGUCCACGCUGAGCACUGGCUCAGAGAGGCCCGGCGCACAGGAGCCCAGGCGCAGGGAGCUGCCGGCCAGUGAUGAGUGGCCGUGUGCCACUGGCUGAGAAAGCCCUGUCGGAAAGCUACGCCCGGCUCCGGUACCGGGACACGUCGCUUCUCAUUUGGCAGCAGCAGCAGCAGCAGCUGGAGUCUGUGCCCCCUGGGACCUACCUGAGCAGGAGCCGCAGCAUGUGGUACUCACAGUACGGCAACGAGGCCAUCCUAGUCCGCGACAGGCACAAGCUUGGAGUCCCCCGGGACACGGGCCAGUCCAAGUUCUGUACAAUCAUGUGAUUCCAGGGAGAAAGCCCGGCCCGGGCCCUCGGCUGCGCAGAGAACAGGCCAUGAUCCACUCAGUGGCCUUAGUGGUUUCCAGUCCUUACUGGGAGAUUCUGAACAGUGAACGUGAUGACCCAAGAACCCAAGAGUCCCGGCAGCGGCUCCCAAGCCCUCUCCACAGUAUCACCAGUCCACAGGCCCAGUGGACCUGGGCCCUGGGCUCCAUUCUACCCCCGCCAGCGCUGCGGGCCCGACCCGCCCAGGGCACCGCUAGUUGCUGCUUUUCUCUUAGGCUUCUGAGCAAGACGGCCACCCUGGCUUCCCACCACUUUUCCAGAAGUUUCUGGGUUUUCAGUUAUUGCCUCCUGCCUGUUACAGAAGGGGGCAGGUCUAGAAAAAGAGGACAGAAUUAGCGUCAUGAAGGCCAAGCAGGAGUAAGCGGGCAGCAGUGGGGCCUUCGCCAGCAAGGCUGGCUGCGGAACGGGCACCGUGUGCAGUGCGCCGUGGGAGCUUCUACACAGCUUCCGGGCACUUGGGGGCGAGCAUGCGAGCGCAUCCAAAAACAUCACGGAAACCAAGACUUAUCUUCUUCCCAACCAGCUGCUGACAGGAUUUCAGAUGUCAUCACAGGACUGACAGGCAAAUUUGGCCUCUCUGCGCUGAGGCGGCAGCUGGUCACCCAUGGGGCGCUGGACAUGUGCCCUACAGGACACCACGCAGGCAGCCUCGGUGCAUCUGGGGGUAGUUUCUGUGAGGCAUCUGCAAAAGAUGUGCCCGUCUGUUGUAACUGAAGUCUGCGUGGCUAUGUAAAUGUGGGAAUAGCUUUUGUCAAAGCUGACCUUUCUAAAUAAAUAACCUUUGGGACAC
This 1704-nucleotide long non-coding RNA is filed under the name Canis lupus familiaris (dog). RNAcentral's name for it is "lncRNA (ENSCAFG00000052590.1)". Lineage: Eukaryota; Metazoa; Chordata; Mammalia; Carnivora; Canidae. The record is from RNAcentral.